AAUGAACGUUGGCGGCGUGGAUUAGGCAUGCAAGUCGUGCGGCAGCAGGCCCCGCAAGGGGUGCUGGCGAGCGGCGAAAGGGUCAGUAACACGUGGAUAACCUACCCUCGGGCUCGGGAUAGCGGCGGGAAACUGCCGGUAAUACCGAAUAAUGUCCCUGGACCAAAGGUGUGAUUCCGUCCGAGGAUGGGUCCGCGUCCUAUUAGCUAGUUGGUGAGGUAACGGCCCACCAAGGCAAAGAUGGGUAGGGGGUGUGAGAGCAUGACCCCCGACACUGGGACUGAGACACUGCCCAGACACCUACGGGUGGCUGCAGUCGAGAAUCUUCGGCAAUGGGCGCAAGCCUGACCGAGCGACGCCGCGUGCGGGACGAAGGCCUUCGGGUUGUAAACCGCUGUCAGAGGGGCGGAAAUACAUUGGGGUUAUCCCCAGUGUUUGACUUAACCUCAGAGGAAGCAUGGGCUAAGUUCGUGCCAGCAGCCGCGGUAAGACGAACCAUGCAAACGUUAUUCGG
Molecule: ribosomal RNA, 514 nt
Filed under: uncultured bacterium
Lineage: Bacteria
Description: bacterial SSU rRNA
Rfam family: Bacterial small subunit ribosomal RNA
Source: RNAcentral